Molecule: unclassified non-coding RNA, 243 nt
Filed under: uncultured fungus
Lineage: Eukaryota; Fungi
Description: sequence contains ITS1, 5.8S rRNA gene
Rfam family: 5.8S ribosomal RNA (bases 195-243)
Source: RNAcentral
UCUCCGUAGGUGAACCUGCGGAGGGAUCAUUACAGAGUAUCAUGCCCUUCGGGGUAGAUCUCCCACCCUGUGUAUUAUAUACCUUUUGUUGCUUUGGCGGGCCGCCUCGGCCACCGGCUCCGGCUGGUGCGUGCCCGCCAGAGGACCCCAAACUCUGAAUUUAAGUGUUGUCUGAGUAAAAACAUAAUAUUUAAAACUUUCAACAACGGAUCUCUUGGCUCUGGCAUCGAUGAAGAACGCAGC